UACGUAGGUGGCGAGCGUUAAUCGGAUUUACUGGGCGUAAAGGGUCCGUAGGGGGUCUGCCAAGUCGGAUGUGAAAUGCCUCGGCUCAACCGCGGCACUGCAUUCGAUACUGGCGGGCUUGAGUCCGCAAGGGGUGAACGGAAUUCCUGGUGUAGCGGUGGAAUGCGUAGAUAUCAGGAAGAACACCGAUGGCGAAAGCGGUUCACUGGUGCGGCACUGACCCUGAGGGACGAAAGCGUGGGUAGCAAACAGGAUUAGAUACCCUGGUAGUCCACGCCGUAAACGUUGUGCGCUAGAUGUGGGGGGACUGAUCCCCUCCGUGUCCAAGCUAACGCGAUAAGCGCACCGCCUGGGGACUACGGUCGCAAGACUAAA
RNAcentral lists this ribosomal RNA (375 nucleotides) under uncultured bacterium. RNAcentral describes it as "bacterial SSU rRNA". It matches the Rfam family "Bacterial small subunit ribosomal RNA", at positions 524 to 898 of the family's 1533-position model. The record is from RNAcentral.